Molecule: small nucleolar RNA, 101 nt
Filed under: Hanseniaspora osmophila
Lineage: Eukaryota; Fungi; Ascomycota; Saccharomycetes; Saccharomycodales; Saccharomycodaceae
Description: Small nucleolar RNA snR64
Rfam family: Small nucleolar RNA snR64
About the family: snR64 is a member of the C/D class of snoRNA which contain the C (UGAUGA) and D (CUGA) box motifs.
Source: Rfam by way of RNAcentral
NUUUAAUGAUGAGGAACCAGAUAGGGACAACAGAUUCGUGACGAGAAAAGUCUUUUUAUAAUCAAGUUUUUAGUAGAGCUUUGAUAACAAUUCUACUGAUC